AUACGGAGGGUGCAAGCGUUAUUCGGAAUCACUGGGCGUAAAGGACGCGUAGGCGGGUUGGCAAGUCAGAUGUGAAAUCCUACAGCUUAACUGUAGAACUGCAUUUGAAACUGCUAACCUAAAGUAUGGGAGGGGGAGAUGGAAUUAGUGGUGUAGGGGUAAAAUCCGUAGAUAUCACUAGGAAUACUGAAAGCGAAGGCGAUCUCCUGGAACAUAACUGACGCUAAGGCGUGAAAGCGUGGGGAGCAAACAGGAUUAGAAACCCUAGUAGUCC
RNAcentral lists this ribosomal RNA (274 nucleotides) under uncultured bacterium. RNAcentral describes it as "partial 16S ribosomal RNA". It matches the Rfam family "Bacterial small subunit ribosomal RNA", at positions 523 to 796 of the family's 1533-position model. The record is from RNAcentral.